RNAcentral lists this long non-coding RNA (238 nucleotides) under Elaeis guineensis (African oil palm). RNAcentral describes it as "long non-coding RNA (EGUI_LNC014890)". The record is from RNAcentral. Lineage: Eukaryota; Viridiplantae; Streptophyta; Magnoliopsida; Arecales; Arecaceae.
UGUCGGCAUUUUAAACCAUGCAGAUUUCUGCAUGAUGGGCUGGUGACCUGCCUCAAGUGGAGCCUUUUCCGAAAUUGGGGGUAGAUGAGCACCUCCUGCACUCGGGACUCUAGGGCCGGUUGAGUCUAGUUUGCCUCCCCCUAUCUGGGCUUUGUGGUGGAGAUUGAGGAGGUUACUGUGGGGGUGUCACUUGUGCCGAUCCUUGCAUCAACCACUGCGGUUAGUGCCUGCACUAGUG